RNAcentral lists this ribosomal RNA (1209 nucleotides) under Pristimantis albujai. RNAcentral's name for it is "partial large subunit ribosomal RNA". It matches the Rfam family "Bacterial large subunit ribosomal RNA", at positions 843 to 2925 of the family's 2925-position model. The record is from RNAcentral. Lineage: Eukaryota; Metazoa; Chordata; Amphibia; Anura; Strabomantidae.
CGAUAGCUGGUUUCUCGAGAAAAGGAUUUUAGUCCAACCUAAAGUUAACCCGACCUCAACUAAAUGGCCUCCCCUUUAGAGUAAUUCAAGUGAGGUACAGCCCACUUGACUCAGGAUACAACCUUCACUAACGGGUAACGUUUAACUAACAUCUUUAAGUAGGCCUAACAGCAGCCACCUUUCAAAAAGCGUCAAAGCUUAACCCUUUUAUCUUAAUUUAAAAACUUACACCAACCCCUCUAACUGUAUCGAGAGCUUCUAUAAUUUUAUAGAACCCUUUAUGCUAAAACUAAUAACAAGAGAUAAACCCCCUCUCCUAAUGCAAGCAUAAGCCAUCAAGAACCCAUCACUGGCAACUAACAUAACCCUAAUAGGUAGAAACUUCCACUAGAGAACCCUACCCACUUCCCCGUUAACCUAACACCAGAGCAUUUCAAGAAAGAUUAAAAGGGAGAAAAGGAACUCGGCAAACUUUAACCCCGCCUGUUUACCAAAAACAUCGCCUCUCGACCCUAUGAGAGGUCUAGCCUGCCCAGUGACUCUGUUCAACGGCCGCGGUAUUCUAACCGUGCAAAGGUAGCGUAAUCACUUGUCUUCUAAAUAAGGACCAGUAUGAAAGGCACCACGAGGAUUAAGCUGUCUCCUCUCCCUAAUCAGUGAACCUAAUCUCCCCGUGAAGAAGCGGGGAUCCGUAUAUAAGACGAGAAGACCCUAUGGAGCUUAAAACAUCACACACUUGCCACCACCAUUAGCCACUCAGGUAUUUCCCCUAAUGGCAUCCUGAUUGCAUGUUUUUGGUUGGGGUGACCGCGGAGAAAAACUCAUCCUCCAUAGUGAAGGGGGGCCUCCCCAAAACAGUAAGUCACAACUUUAUGUAUCAAUAAUUUGACACCAUUGACCCAAUAAAUUGAUUAAUGAACCAAGUUACCCUAGGGAUAACAGCACAAUCCGCUUUAAGAGACCCUAUCGACAAGCGGGCUUAUGACCUCGAUGUUGGAUCGAGAUGCCCCAGUGGUGCAGCCGCUACUAAAGGUUCGUUUGUUCAACGAUUAAAAUCCCACGUGAUCUGAGUUCAGACCGGAGUAAUCCAGGUCAGUUUCUAUCUAUAAUAGCGCUAAUUUCAGUACGAAAGGACCAAAACAGCAUGGCCUAUACCUCUGCAAGCCAUAGUUAAUCAUUUCAGGCCCCUGCUCAAAAAAUAAUUGACCA